RNAcentral lists this ribosomal RNA (310 nucleotides) under uncultured bacterium. RNAcentral's name for it is "bacterial SSU rRNA". It matches the Rfam family "Bacterial small subunit ribosomal RNA", at positions 56 to 368 of the family's 1533-position model. The record is from RNAcentral.
UGCAGUCGAGCGGUAAGGCUCCUUCGGGGGUACACGUAGCGGCGAACGGGUGAGUAACACGUGAGUAAUCUGCCCUUCACUUCGGGAUAAGCCUCGGAAACGAGGUCUAAUACCGGAUACGACCACUUCCUGCAUGGGAUGGUGGUGGAAAGUUUUUCGGUGGAGGAUGUGCUCGCGGCCUAUCAGCUUGUUGGUGGGGUAAUGGCCUACCAAGGCUUCGACGGGUAGCCGGCCUGAGAGGGUGACCGGCCACACUGGGACUGAGACACGGCCCANACUCCUACGGGAGGCAGCAGUGGGGAAUAUUGGA